This 356-nucleotide ribosomal RNA is filed under the name uncultured bacterium. RNAcentral describes it as "partial 16S ribosomal RNA". It matches the Rfam family "Bacterial small subunit ribosomal RNA", at positions 338 to 686 of the family's 1533-position model. The record is from RNAcentral.
CCUACGGGUGACAGCAGUAGGGAAUCUUCCACAAUGUGCGACAGCCUGAUGGAGCAACGCCGCGUGGGUGACGAAGGUCGUCAGAACGUAAAACCCUGUUGUUAGAGAAGACAGUUCGUGCGCGUAACUGUUCACGUUUCGACGGUCUCUCACCAGAAAGCCACGGCUAACUACGUGCCAGCAGCCGCGGUAAUACGUAGGUGGCUAGCGUUAUCCGGAUUUAUUGGGCGUAAAGGGAACGCAGGCGGUCUGUUAAGUGUGAUGUGAAAGCCUUCGGCUUAACCGGAGUAGUGUAUUGGAAACUGGGAGACUUGAGUGCAGAAGAGGAAAGUGGAACUCGAAGUGUAGCGGUGAAA